UUGAAGAGUUUGAUCAUGGCUCAGAUUGAACGCUGGCGGCAGGCCUAACACAUGCAAGUCGAGCGGUAGCACAGAGAGCUUGCUCUCGGGUGACGAGCGGCGGACGGGUGAGUAAUGUCUGGGAAACUGCCUGAUGGAGGGGGAUAACUACUGGAAACGGUAGCUAAUACCGCAUAACGUCGCAAGACCAAAGUGGGGGACCUUCGGGCCUCAUGCCAUCAGAUGUGCCCAGAUGGGAUUAGCUAGUAGGUGGGGUAAUGGCUCACCUAGGCGACGAUCCCUAGCUGGUCUGAGAGGAUGACCAGCCACACUGGAACUGAGACACGGUCCAGACUCCUACGGGAGGCAGCAGUGGGGAAUAUUGCACAAUGGGCGCAAGCCUGAUGCAGCCAUGCCGCGUGUGUGAAGAAGGCCUUCGGGUUGUAAAGCACUUUCAGCGGGGAGGAAGGCGAUAAGGUUAAUAACCUUGUCGAUUGACGUUACCCGCAGAAGAAGCACCGGCUAACUCCGUGCCAGCAGCCGCGGUAAUACGGAGGGUGCAAGCGUUAAUCGGAAUUACUGGGCGUAAAGCGCACGCAGGCGGUCUGUCAAGUCGGAUGUGAAAUCCCCGGGCUCAACCUGGGAACUGCAUUCGAAACUGGCAGGCUAGAGUCUUGUAGAGGGGGGUAGAAUUCCAGGUGUAGCGGUGAAAUGCGUAGAGAUCUGGAGGAAUACCGGUGGCGAAGGCGGCCCCCUGGACAAAGACUGACGCUCAGGUGCGAAAGCGUGGGGAGCAAACAGGAUUAGAUACCCUGGUAGUCCACGCCGUAAACGAUGUCGAUUUGGAGGUUGUGCCCUUGAGGCGUGGCUUCCGGAGCUAACGCGUUAAAUCGACCGCCUGGGGAGUACGGCCGCAAGGUUAAAACUCAAAUGAAUUGACGGGGGCCCGCACAAGCGGUGGAGCAUGUGGUUUAAUUCGAUGCAACGCGAAGAACCUUACCUGGUCUUGACAUCCACAGAACUUUCCAGAGAUGGAUUGGUGCCUUCGGGAACUGUGAGACAGGUGCUGCAUGGCUGUCGUCAGCUCGUGUUGUGAAAUGUUGGGUUAAGUCCCGCAACGAGCGCAACCCUUAUCCUUUGUUGCCAGCGGUUAGGCCGGGAACUCAAAGGAGACUGCCAGUGAUAAACUGGAGGAAGGUGGGGAUGACGUCAAGUCAUCAUGGCCCUUACGACCAGGGCUACACACGUGCUACAAUGGCAUAUACAAAGAGAAGCGACCUCGCGAGAGCAAGCGGACCUCAUAAAGUAUGUCGUAGUCCGGAUUGGAGUCUGCAACUCGACUCCAUGAAGUCGGAAUCGCUAGUAAUCGUAGAUCAGAAUGCUACGGUGAAUACGUUCCCGGGCCUUGUACACACCGCCCGUCACACCAUGGGAGUGGGUUGCAAAAGAAGUAGGUAGCUUAACCUUCGGGAGGGCGCUUACCACUUUGUGAUUCAUGACUGGGGUGAAGUCGUAACAAGGUAACCGUAGGGGAACCUGCGGUUGGAUCACCUCCUU
This 1536-nucleotide ribosomal RNA is filed under the name Klebsiella pneumoniae subsp. pneumoniae. RNAcentral's name for it is "bacterial SSU rRNA". It matches the Rfam family "Bacterial small subunit ribosomal RNA". Lineage: Bacteria; Pseudomonadati; Pseudomonadota; Gammaproteobacteria; Enterobacterales; Enterobacteriaceae. The record is from RNAcentral.